UUAGGAUCAGUGUCAAUGUCUUUUUGUCUCUGUUUCCCACCUCUUAUUUUACCUUUCUCCACACCGCCGCUCCAAUCGAUCCUUCCAGUUUCAAAAUAAGCGAUCGUCUCUCUCUCCAUCACCGACACCCCAGUGCUUUCUAAGGGCGUUCGUCUUGGUGGUGAUAGACGAGUAGGGGUCUCUACCGGAACUGGUGGGGUCACUAAGUCGAUUGUCUCCACCAUAGAGAAACCUUCUUCAAUGUUGAACGAAGCAAAAUCUUAGAGACCUGUUCAUUCGUUCCUUUCAACCUCCGUAUUGUAGCGAUUGAGAUCAAUUUUACUUGCAAUUUCUAAAAUCGAACACACACACACACAUCAAUUUCAACGACACCCAGUUCAAUUACACGCUGAUUCGAUCUUCCACCGUUUCCUUUCCCACUGCCUCAAAGUCCAUUGGAAAUUGAUGCUGACUCUCCCCAUCGCUUACCGGUCCAUCAUCCACCCACAAUCGUUGCCCAACACCAACAGGGCUGCUUGGCAUCAACACAUAACCAAGAGAUGUGGCACCUAAUUAAAAUAGGAGUUAAAUAAGUUUGGUUUUUUGCUGAAAGAGAAGCCACUGAGUCUUCCGCCCAUGACAGUCAACACCAACCUCAGAUCUUGACAGAUUUACAGCCAUACCAGGCUUUUUUUGACGGCAAGAUUAGGGUUUUCUUACUGCACACAAUGUGUUCGACAAAAUGUCACACUGAAGAUUUUCUGCUUUGAUUGCCUUCAAUUGUCAGGCUUGCAUUUUUCUAUUUUGUGGUUCUUUUUUUGCGUAGUGUUUGACAAGAUGUAGGUGGGAUCUUCUGUGAAUAUAGUAAAAGGUUGAACUGAGUUGUGCAGCUCCGUUGCCAAGUCUCAUGUUAUGUGUGUUGCAUGUGGUUCAGCGCAUUUCUUGGUGGUGGUUGAUAGGUCAAAUAUGGGGAAAUGGCUUGACAAGGAAGGGCAUAUAGUAUUGUGUUAGCCGAAAGAGUUGUGGUAAAUUUGAUCCAAAGAAUGAGUGGCAUAACCACACUCACAAAGAUAACAAUAAAUCAGUCGCUGAAGCAGGUAUCAUCUUUAUUAUGGGAAUUAUGAGCUUGGUCCACGACUGGAGGUGCUCAUGUAGUAUGCAAAGCACGCGGUAAAUGUCAGUAGCUAUUUGGUUCCAAUUUGAAGUUUUGGAUAAAUGAGCAGACACAGCCGAGAUUUUUGAUUCCUCCGAUUUUGCAUGGUCAACUCUACAUAACACCAUAUCAAGUGGACAAAAAGGGAAAUGGACAUGAUGAUAUAUCAGCAACUGAAAAAAGAUGAUGAACUGCCAAAAAUGCCUGCUUCACAGUAUUGUAAAACAUUUCAGUUCAUAGGAGCACAUCAGAUCCCUUUGCCCCCCGCGAACCGGGGGUUACCAAUCUAGUUAUAAUGAUGGAAAUUAAAAUGUUAAACAAAUAAAUUUUACAAAAAUGAUUAACAAUAACAAACACUAAAAAUAACAUCAAAUCAUAUAUUAUAUUUUAUUUUAUUAAUGAGUAA
Lactuca sativa (garden lettuce) is the source of this 1538-nucleotide long non-coding RNA. RefSeq lists it as uncharacterized. The record is from RefSeq and is a predicted model, not a curated record. NCBI's taxonomy places the organism in Eukaryota, Viridiplantae, Streptophyta, Magnoliopsida, Asterales, Asteraceae.